CACGUAUUUAGCCGUCGCUUCUUCUGUUGGUACCGUCACUUUCUUCUUCCCAACUGAAAGCACUUUACAAUCCUAAGACCGUCAUCGUGCACACAGAAUUGCUGGAUCAGGCUUGUGGCCCAUUGUCCAAUAUUCCCCACUGCUGCCUCCCGUAGGAGUAAGGGCCGUGUCUCAGUCCCCUUGUGGCCGUUCACCCUCUCAGGCCGGCUAUCCAUCGUCGCCUUGGUGGGCCAUUACCCCACCAACUAGCUAAUGGAACGCAAGACUCUCUUUUGGCGCAUAUAGCUUUCAUAAAUUCUCCAUGCGGAAAUUUCAUAAUAUCCGGUAUUAGCUGUCGUUUCCAACAGUUGUCCCAGUCCAAAAGGCAAGUUUCUUACGCGUUACUCACCCGUCCGCCAUCCUCCAUUCCCCGAAGGAAAUUUCGAAUCGACUUGCAUGUGUUAAGCAUUCUGUCAGCGUUCAUCCUGAGCCAGGAUCAAACUCU
This 484-nucleotide ribosomal RNA is filed under the name uncultured Cetobacterium sp. Its description in RNAcentral is "partial 16S ribosomal RNA". Lineage: Bacteria; Fusobacteriati; Fusobacteriota; Fusobacteriia; Fusobacteriales; Fusobacteriaceae. The record is from RNAcentral.